RNAcentral lists this ribosomal RNA (386 nucleotides) under uncultured bacterium. Its description in RNAcentral is "bacterial SSU rRNA". It matches the Rfam family "Bacterial small subunit ribosomal RNA", at positions 29 to 416 of the family's 1533-position model. The record is from RNAcentral.
AUUGAACGCUGGCGGCAUGCCUUACACAUGCAAGUCGAACGGCAGCACGGGGGCAACCCUGGUGGCGAGUGGCGAGCGGGUGAGUAAUGCAUCGGAACGUGCCCAGUAGUGGGGGAUAACUAGUCGAAAGAUUAGCUAAUACCGCAUACGACCUAAUGGGUGAAAGCGGGGGAUUCGCAAGAACCUCGCGCUAUCGGAGCGGCCGAUGUCUGAUUAGCUAGNGGCGGGUAAAGCCCACCAAGGCUUCGAUCAGUAGCUGGUCUGAGAGGACGACCAGCCACACUGGGACUGAGACACGGCCCAGACUCCUACGGGAGGCAGCAGUGGGGAAUUUUGGACAAUGGGCGCAAGCCUGAUCCAGCCAUGCCGCGUGCGGGAAGAAGGCC